CAAUAGCGUAUAUUAAAGUUGUUGCAGUUAAAAAGCUCGUAGUUGGAUUUCUGGUGGGAGCGAUCGGUCUGGCGCUUAGCGCGAGUACUUGCAUCGUCUCCGGCCAUCCUUGGGGAAAGUCUGUCUGGCAUUAAGUUGUCGGGCAGAGGAUCCUCAUCGUUUACUGUGAAAAAAUUAGAGUGUUCAAAGCAGGCUUAUGCCGUUGAAUAUAUUAGCAUGGAAAAAUAAGAUAGGACUUUGGUACUAUUUUGUUGGUUUGCGCACCAAAGUAAUGAUUAAUAGGGACAGUUGGGGGUAUUCGUAUUCCGUUGUCAGAGGUGAAAUUCUUGGAUUUACGGAAGACGAACUACUGCGAAAGCAUUUACCAAGGAUGUUUUCAUUAA
This 383-nucleotide ribosomal RNA is filed under the name uncultured eukaryote. RNAcentral describes it as "partial 18S ribosomal RNA". It matches the Rfam family "Eukaryotic small subunit ribosomal RNA", at positions 592 to 976 of the family's 1831-position model. The record is from RNAcentral.